RNAcentral lists this ribosomal RNA (66 nucleotides) under Alternaria alternata. RNAcentral describes it as "partial 28S ribosomal RNA". The record is from RNAcentral. Lineage: Eukaryota; Fungi; Ascomycota; Dothideomycetes; Pleosporales; Pleosporaceae.
CUUUUGACCUCGGAUCAGGUAGGAUACCCGCUGAAAAAAAAGCAUAAAAAUAAGCGGAGGAAAACA